GAUGAACGCUGGCGGCGUGCCUAAUACAUGCAAGUCGAGCGAACAGACGAGGAGCUUGCUCCUCUGACGUUAGCGGCGGACGGGUGAGUAACACGUGGAUAACCUACCUAUAAGACUGGGAUAACUUCGGGAAACCGGAGCUAAUACCGGAUAAUAUAUUGAACCGCAUGGUUCAAUAGUGAAAGACGGUUUUGCUGUCACUUAUAGAUGGAUCCGCGCCGCAUUAGCUAGUUGGUAAGGUAACGGCUUACCAAGGCAACGAUGCGUAGCCGACCUGAGAGGGUGAUCGGCCACACUGGAACUGGGACACGGUCCAGACUCCUACGGGAGGCAGCAGUAGGGAAUCUUCCGCAAUGGGCGAAAGCCUGACGGAGCAACGCCGCGUGAGUGAUGAAGGUCUUCGGAUCGUAAAACUCUGUUAUUAGGGAAGAACAAAUGUGUAAGUAACUAUGCACGUCUUGACGGUACCUGAUCAGAAAGCCACGGCUAACUACGUG
Molecule: ribosomal RNA, 497 nt
Filed under: uncultured bacterium
Lineage: Bacteria
Description: partial 16S ribosomal RNA
Rfam family: Bacterial small subunit ribosomal RNA
Source: RNAcentral